ACCGAGAUUCCCCCAGUAGCGGCGAGCGAACGGGGAGGAGCCCAGAGCCUGAAUCAGCAUGUGUGUUAGUGGAAGCGUCUGGAAAGGCGCGCGAUACAGGGUGACAGCCCCGUACACAAAAGCGCAUAUGCUGUGAGCUCGAUGAGUAGGGCGGGACACGUGGUAUCCUGUCUGAAUAUGGGGGGACCAUCCUCCAAGGCUAAAUACUCCUGACUGACCGAUAGUGAACCAGUACCGUGAGGGAAAGGC
This 249-nucleotide ribosomal RNA is filed under the name Salmonella enterica subsp. enterica serovar Montevideo. Its description in RNAcentral is "partial 23S ribosomal RNA". It matches the Rfam family "Bacterial large subunit ribosomal RNA", at positions 228 to 514 of the family's 2925-position model. The record is from RNAcentral. Lineage: Bacteria; Pseudomonadati; Pseudomonadota; Gammaproteobacteria; Enterobacterales; Enterobacteriaceae.